This 423-nucleotide ribosomal RNA is filed under the name uncultured archaeon. Its description in RNAcentral is "partial 16S ribosomal RNA". It matches the Rfam family "Archaeal small subunit ribosomal RNA", at positions 323 to 746 of the family's 1478-position model. The record is from RNAcentral.
CUACGGGCGGCUGCAGUUAGGGAUCUUUUACAAUGCACGAAAGUGUGAUAAAGCGAGCCAGAGUGUUUCUCAUAUUUGAGAAACUUUUGUUUGUUGUAAAAAGACAGACGAAUAAGGACUGGGAGAGACUGGUGCCAGCCGCCGCGGUAAUCCCAGCGGUCCAAGUUGCAGCCUCAAUUAUUGGGUCUAAAACAUCCGUAGCUUGUUUUGUAAGUUUUUUGUGAAAUCUCGCCUCUUAAGGGCGAGGCGCGCAGAAAGUACUGCAGAACUAGAGACUGGAAGAAGCGAGAAGUAUGGCUGAGGUAGUGGUAAAAUAUGUUAAUCUUGGCUAGACUAACAAUUGCGAAGGCAUCUCGCUAGUACAGUUCUGACAGUGAGGGAUGAAGGCUAGGGUCGCAAAACGGAUUAGAUACCCUUGUAGUC